GUAAACAAUCUUAAAUUUAAAACAUGUGUUUGUCUCUUUAUAGGGCAGCUGAAACAGAUUGCCCCGGGGAGCGAUGUUUCUUUAAGCUGCUCAUCUGGAGAAGCUCCCAGUGGACAACUUCUAAUCAACAACACAGUGAGAGUGAAAUUUAAAGGAACAGAAUAUCUACUUAUAAAAAACUUUCAGAAACAGAAUGAAGGCCGAUAUUUCUGCCACAAACAAGAGGACUAUAGAAAUUUGGAACUGAAACCUGCUUCAACAAACGAUGAGACGGUUUUGUUUCGUGGAAGUGAGGGAGAUUCACUUUACCUCUUCUGUAAAAGUAUUCUAAACUCAUUACCAAUGGUCACCUGGUUAUGGAGACCCAACCACGAAGAUAAAAAUAUCAACCUUAGACAGAACCCUACACACUUUGGAAAACGACUAUACCUCAGGAAUUACAACAACGACUUUUCUGCAUCCAUCAGACCUGUAGACUGGAGCGACUCUGGGAAAUAUGAAUGUCAACUUUCCGGCCUUUCACCUGUCAGGACUGUCUUUGAAGUCGUGGUGGUGAGAGGUACCUUAAUAUAUCUUAUAUAUUUAUAUUAUAUUCCGAUUAUCUGGAAACCUCACAUUUUUAUACUAAAAUUUCCAUCUGUCUCCUCCACAGUUCAUGCCGACCCUCAGCACCUAAACGAGGGGGAUGAUGUCAAAUUAAAAUGUGACAUUUCUCAUCAGACAUCACAAGUACAACUGUACUGGAUCAACAUGAAGACACAAGAGAACUUUCCAAACCCACAUAAUCUUAAGAAUGUUGAGAUCAGCCAGAUGAGCUGGGCGUGUGCUGUGUUUAACACAUCUGUACUAAAAGCUCUUAUUCCACUAACUCUCAACAUCAGUCAGCCCCUCAGCACAACUGCAACAUUACCAUCUCCGACCACUCACGAUCACACCUCGGCUGAGUCAACAGUUCUGCUACAGUCUAGCAGAAACACCAACGACACUCGCUGGACUACAACAGGAAACACCCCACCUCCAAGAAACACAACAAGGACCGUCUUAAUCAGCAUCUGCACUUCAUUCUUCUUCACCCUUAUUUUAGUGCUCGGUGCUGUGUGCUGGAGGACAUGGAGAAGAAAGAAUUUAGAGGAAGAGUGUCCUCAAUGUGAGAGAGAGAGCGUUACAUACGCUGAGAUGAGCUUCAGACAGAGAUCAGAGAGAAGGAAAGAAGGAGAGAAGCUUUCUGUGAGUGAAAGCGUUACUUAUGCAGAAGUGAGCUUCAGGCAGAGAGCAGGUGGGUCACUUUUAUAUCAAACACUGUUGAGCUGAUGAAGUGUAUUAAAAAUAGCAGAAUUUAGGACCAUCCCUCAG
RNAcentral lists this long non-coding RNA (1353 nucleotides) under Astyanax mexicanus (Mexican tetra). Its description in RNAcentral is "lncRNA (ENSAMXG00005022523.1)". The record is from RNAcentral. Lineage: Eukaryota; Metazoa; Chordata; Actinopteri; Characiformes; Acestrorhamphidae.